Molecule: long non-coding RNA, 206 nt
Filed under: Hordeum vulgare
Lineage: Eukaryota; Viridiplantae; Streptophyta; Magnoliopsida; Poales; Poaceae
Description: long non-coding RNA (HVUL_LNC008150)
Source: RNAcentral
AAGGCAACUAUAAUUUUGUCAAUUCAGUACAUAUACAAAACCUUUUCAGCAUGCACAAAGCAAUGAUACACACUAUCCCGGGAAACCUCAAUCAGAUCAUCUUGUGUGCUUGCUAAACGUCACAACCAUGCAAGUAAUAUGUGUUCCUUGAUAACAACAGAAACAUAUCAGGUGAUGGUAUCAUAACUUUUUUAAAGCAACUCUAG